Molecule: ribosomal RNA, 510 nt
Filed under: uncultured bacterium
Lineage: Bacteria
Description: bacterial SSU rRNA
Rfam family: Bacterial small subunit ribosomal RNA
Source: RNAcentral
CUGGCGGCGUGCCUAAUACAUGCAAGUCGAACGGUCGUUUCUAUGGAAGCUUGCUUCCACUGAGAAGAUAGUGGCGAACGGGUGAGUAACACGUGGGUAACCUGCCCAUAAGAGGGGGAUAACAUCCGGAAACGGGUGCUAAUACCGCAUAGUUUUCUUGAUCGCAUGAUUGAGAAAGGAAAGACGGCCUUUGUGCUGUCGCUUAUGGAUGGACCCGCGGCGUAUUAGUUAGUUGGUGAGGUAACGGCUCACCAAGACGAUGAUACGUAGCCGACCUGAGAGGGUGAUCGGCCACAUUGGGACUGAGACACGGCCCAAACUCCUACGGGAGGCAGCAGUAGGGAAUCUUCCGCAAUGGACGAAAGUCUGACGGAGCAACGCCGCGUGAGUGAAAGAAGGUUUUCGGAUCGUAAAACUCUGUUGUCAGAGAAGAACAAGUUGGAGAGUAACUGCUCCAGCCUUGACGGUAUCUGACCAGAAAGCCACGGCUAACUACGUGCCAGCCGCGGC